Molecule: ribosomal RNA, 253 nt
Filed under: uncultured bacterium
Lineage: Bacteria
Description: partial 16S ribosomal RNA
Rfam family: Bacterial small subunit ribosomal RNA
Source: RNAcentral
UACGUAGGGUGCAAGCGUUGUCCGGAAUUAUUGGGCGUAAAGAGCUCGUAGGCGGUCUGUCGCGUCGAAUGUGAAACCCCGAGGCUCAACCUCGGGUCUGCAUUCGAUACGGGCAGACUAGAGUUCGGUAGGGGAGUCUGGAAUUCCUGGUGUAGCGGUGAAAUGCGCAGAUAUCAGGAGGAACACCGGUGGCGAAGGCGGGACUCUGGGCCGAUACUGACGCUGAGGAGCGAAAGCGUGGGGAGCGAACAGG